Long non-coding RNA from Oncorhynchus tshawytscha (Chinook salmon), 1017 nucleotides. RefSeq lists it as uncharacterized. The transcript has 2 exons. The record is from RefSeq and is a predicted model, not a curated record. NCBI's taxonomy places the organism in Eukaryota, Metazoa, Chordata, Actinopteri, Salmoniformes, Salmonidae.
GAGAAAGAAAGAAAGAGCGCGACAGAGAGAGAGAGAAAGAGAUGGAGACAAAGAGACACAGCUGCAUGUGAGCUCACACAUUUUCAGCAUGUUCUUACAAAAAGAUAGACUUAGAGUUAGAUAAACUUGAAUUUUUCCACAAGGAUAUAUAUAGGACACUACCCUCCAUAAUAUAACAUUGACUCCAAAUCAAACCUCCAAAUCUACAACCUGAUUUUGGACAAAACUACCUGGAAGUAUUCCUACAACCAAAGAUUCUUAUUUCCAAGAUUUACAGCAAAUAGUCUGGCAAACAACCAACAGAAACCUGAAACACCAUCCAACCUGGAACUGAGUGAGUCAUCUUUAGUCUGAAGUCCAACCUGGAACUGAUGACCCUGUUCAUCAGAACGUCAUGGUGGAUGGAAAAAGAUGCUCUCUUCAGCUGCGGUGAAUAACCACAACCCUGUCAGUCCAUCUCUUUACUUCUCCUUUCUCUUAUAUUCUCUCUCCCUCCUUCCCUUUUCGUAACCAACUGCGGCCUUGACCUCCAACAGUAUCAGCAACACAGAGGUGUGAAGUUUCCACAACAGAGAGAGUCAGUUUAUCAUGUACUUCUCUUUAGACGCUGCAGCCUUGACCUCCAUCAACAGAGUUAGAGUUAGUUUAUCAUGAGAACAUACAGACACCACUGACUGGAACUAUCAACAACAAGAGUUGGUUUAUCAUGAUAACAUACAGACACCACUGACUGGAACCAGCUGACAGUAUCAGUUGUAAAGGACAGUUGUAGUGUUUUGUCCACAAUGAAUGAUGUAAAGACUUCAUUACUACUAGCAGAAGGAAAGUUGUAGUGUUUUGUCCAUGAUGAAUGAUGUAAAGGCUUCAAUGUGUUUUUAUAUUGAGCUACUCUGUUAUAUUCUGUUUGUUCAUGUGAAAUUGGAAAGUGUAUUUUUCUAUAAUGUCGUUGUGUGUGUAUAUCUUGAGCAACACCGUCGUAUGGCUGCCAACUUGCCAAAUAAAGCUUCCUAAAAUGUG